This 2500-nucleotide long non-coding RNA is filed under the name Rattus norvegicus (Norway rat). Its description in RNAcentral is "long non-coding RNA NONRATT030092". The record is from RNAcentral. Lineage: Eukaryota; Metazoa; Chordata; Mammalia; Rodentia; Muridae.
CCUUGAUUGGGUAUGUUUCCUGUGUAGUGACUUUAUGUUUGUUCUUACAAUAUCUGAAACAUUUAGGAAAAAAUCUAAUUUAUUCCAUUAAUGGCCAGUUAAAUAGAUUGGUGCUUGCUUUAUUAGGGGUCUGACUUAAAUUAGGAACCCUGCCAUAUUCUGUAUUCGGCACCCGUGUUUGAUGCUGUCACAGUCUAUCCUCUCUGCAGGUGACAAGAGCCUCUAGCCCUUAGCUUGAAAGCCUUUCUUAGAGCAUUUUAACAAGCUCGUUUAAAACAUUGUGUGAUGUGCCAAGCAGCACCUAUCUGCAUGUGUGUUGUAGUCUGGAUUUCCCUCUCAUUUUGGGGAAACGAAAUAAGCAGGACACUUAAGUAGUCACUGAAGCCCUAAGUGAAGAAUUAAUAAUGAAGGAUUUUUUUCUUUUUUUCUUUUUUUUUUACAGUAAAGAGAAACUGAGUGAGAUUCAAAAUGUUGGGUUUUGUUGUUUUUGUUUUUGUUCUUUUAUAUUUGUACUUGUAAAGUAUCUUUCAGCACUACUAGCAGUUAGGUGGGUUUGUAAAAUUUAAACGUUUUCCAUUCUCAGUUCUCAUUUUUAAGUUCCCACCACACUGACCAGUGCUGCUGAUGAAUGCUCAGAGGUAAAGUUACUCCUACUGUCGGCAGUCUCAUCUGAAAGUGACCCGGAAUCCUGACUGACUGGUGAGGAAAUGCUGUUACCCGUAACCUGCGAGUGUUUCUCUUGGCUUUUCUGUGAAGGAUAUUUGGACAUUGGUAAAGUCGUAAGGAGUAGAUUUUUUGUCAGACUUCAGCACUUAAUAUUCACAGUGGGCUAGAUGGACGCUGCUACAGAGGAGAGUCUGCACCUGCGUCGGCACAGCGCGCAGGCUUGCUGUAGACAGUGAUGCAGUAGCUGGCUAUUGGUUCCCUGGGGAGUGUGCGGUUAGAUAAGGGCCAUGUCUGCCUGAUGCUGGGCCUCGGCCUCUUCAGUCUUCAUCUGUGCCUCGGAAAGAUGGACCAGACACGGACGCGUGCAGCUGAUGUAAAGAUCAGUAAAGGGGUACAGACGUGUGCAGACGUGCAGAUGGCGUGGAACACACUCUCUGUGCUUCCAGGGACACAGGCUUUUGUGUCUGGUUUGAAAUGGUCUGUUUGCCUCUGUUCAUUUUUCUGUGCGACUGAUGAGGCUACAGGACCCCCUCUGGAGAGAUAGAAGCCGUUUCUGUUUCUUUGGUUUCAGUAGCGCAUUGCUGAGCUGAGCUCCGGGAAGUGACUCCUGACAGUACCGUGGCAUGCCCAUCUUCUCUUGUUUCCUGAGUGGGAAGACAUUUUGCUUUUUAAAGUAUUGGUUAAGUAAAUUUAAGGUACUUUGGUGACUAAACUUUCUGAAGCAAGAGUUACUGCUUUGAAAGCUUGAGUUGUUCCUUUAAAAUUAAUGUCUGGCUGGUGUUAACGAAGGAGAAACACAUAAUUGAACUGUUUGGUGUGGUACAAAUGUGUGACUCCAGGCUGCUUGUGUUUAGCAACUGAUGCAUACAUGUGUAUAUGUAGUGUUCUGAGCGCUUCGGAUUGAAUGGCUGUUGUCCUCUUUAACUCCCUUUCAUGACCUAGAGAAUAUUAACGUUGAAAAGCUAUGAAUAAGGAAGGAAUCUCAUACUUAUAUAUAAUAUGAAUUCCAAAGUAACUGACAGUAACAUGAGAAAAUUAUGCCAGCAUGUUGCUGUGUAUAAAAAUCUUGUUUAUAAAUAUGAAGCUUUUUGAUGACAAAGUUUUGUUUAAAAAAAUAGAAUUUGAAUUUUUCCUGUUUGCCUGAGUAAAGAAAUCAGAAAGCCGGUGAGCCCUUUUGUAGUCUAUUCAGUACUCACCGAUUCUCAGGAUUCCCUAGGGAAGGACCGAGCAGGGGUUUUCUAGCUUUGACGUCUGUGUAAGUAAUGGGGUCAUUCAUAUCAGCAUUGGCCUGAGGUGGCUGUGUGGUGGAUGGUCUCUUGGCACUCUAGCCAUUAGCAGUGGGCUUCUGUGGAAGUGCCGAGGAGGUGACCUGCCUGUGGCAAGUCAGCUGAGCUUCAAGUGUGAAGGCUGCUGUGAGCCUGGUGCCGUCUUGCCAGGACACUCAGUCUCCAAAGUGACUUAUGCAGUAUUCAGACAUCUAGUGCAAUGCCUUUAUCUUAUUUUAUUUUAUUUUUUGGUUGUUUUUGUAAUGGGUGUAGUGUAUUAUAGAAAAAAAGGAAACUACAAUCACGAGCAGUUUUGUUUAAUGCUGCUUUGUCAGUUUUGUAAAAGAAAAUGUACAUAAUGUCUUUCAACAGGUUUUAAACUAGAGGAAAUGACGUUGUAAAUCACAGUAGCCUCCUACUUAAUGUAUUAUAAUGUAUAUAUUUCUCUAACUUUGUUUCCAGCUGUUUUUAUAUGAUUGACAUGUUAUUUAAAGAUAACUACCGUAGCUUCUUAGAGACUUGUACUGUAAAUAAAGAGGACCUACAAUAAACUGGAAUUUACUUACUCU